GCUCGACACCUAAGGCAGCAGUUGGGAAUAUUGGACAAUGGAGGAAACUCUGAUCCAGUGACGCCGCGUGAAGGAAGAAGGUCUUCGGAUUGUAAACUUAUUUUGUCAGGGAAGAAAAAUGACUGUACCUGAAGAAAAAGCACCGGCUAACUACGUGCCAGCAGCCGCGGUAAUCUGAGCGGGCUGGCAAGGC
This 193-nucleotide ribosomal RNA is filed under the name uncultured bacterium. Its description in RNAcentral is "partial 16S ribosomal RNA". It matches the Rfam family "Bacterial small subunit ribosomal RNA", at positions 330 to 539 of the family's 1533-position model. The record is from RNAcentral.